GGGUGGUAUACAGUACAUAUAGAAGCUAAAGAACUGUUACAGUUCACUGUAGCUGUAAUACCUCUCUUAGACAGCAGAGUGAAAACAGGUCAAAUUACAAACCGCUCCUUUAAAACUGGUAUUUUUUGUUCUAUAUUUUUUAAAACCCUCACUCAUUAAAAAAUAAAUAAUUGUCUCUAAAUAAAGAACAUCUGACUUAUCUCCUCGAUGUACUGUACAUUAUACCCCCUGCUGAUUUUGUUGGAAUUUUCAGUUUUCCGGCACCGGAAUUCAGUCAGCAGGGUGAUGUUUUAAUCCUGUGAUCCCUCGACUCAGACUUGGAUCCAAACCCAGGGCCUUUAUUUCCUGCCAAACUCUUCUGCUACUGUGCACAAAUCCUGCUGGAGAAACUGUUUCCUCCUGAUAAUUCCGAGAGAGGAAUUGUGUAUCACAUCGAUUAACAUUGCGUCGUUAUCUCCUUCCUCAAACACACGUUCAGCAUGCUUGCUUUUUUUCAUUUAGAAUUAGAAAGCUCUCCGGUAAUAACGACUAAAACGCCUUAAUCACUCAAGAGCCUGGUGAAGAGGCGAGCUGUUGGAUCGGCCGCGAUUAGCAACCCCAUUCUGCCUGCUGAUUGGCCAGGGAUAAACACAAUAAAUCACUAUUAGUGAGGAGUAUCAGUAAAUCGAAAAGAGAAGAAAAUGGACAUAAAUCGAGUGAUUGAUCAGGCUCAUUAAAGUGGGAAAGGAAGCAGGGUAUAGAUGUCUGAGAGCUCAACAAAAGUCCGCUUUUAUUUCAGACACUAAUCCCAAAUUUUGUCCAAUCACUUUUCUCAGACGAGACUCCAUCAUUCUUCACUAAUAUCAAUCCAGAACUGUGUUUUCAGACCAAGCACCCGACCCUAAACAGGACGCUAGUUUCUCUAUUAGCAUGCAGAUUGGACUUCUCCUAAUAACACUCCUCAAAGCCAUUGAGUUGAUUUUUCAAUUUCGUGCUGCUUAUCUCCCCCUCGCCUCGUAAUGAAAAUUUCCAUCAUUGCAGAACGAGAGGGCGACUAAAGCAGGGGUUUUAGCCAUUUUGGCUAACGAGCACUCUUAUCUCGGAAAGUGCUGGCCUUUCACAAAAAUAAGACACGCAAUCAUGGCUCGGACCCGCUGCGCCGUGAUUACAGGACGAUUUGGACGGCUGGAAAUUGGCCUGUUGUCCCACAGAGCGGCAGAAUAGAGGUGUAAACAAAAGCAAUUUCUGUUUGUGAAGGUAAAAAUCCCCACAAUCACAGUGAAAUUAACAUGACGUAGGACGAGUGCAGCGCGGAGCCAUGUAAACCACGCCCACAUUUACUAGACAGUUAAUAAUGUUAUGAAAAACAAAUUCAGAAAGAGAUUGAGGACUAAAGUUUGAGUACUUUUAGACAUACUUGUGAUCUCAUACUCUCAUACAUAAGCUAUAUAUUUUCUCAACGUUUCCAUAGGUGUGUUGUUCCCACUGUUUGCCAGUCUUUCCUAGAUUUUUAAUGUUAUGUGCUUUCAUGUUUUGCCUGAAUUUCCCAGUGCUUCCCAGCAUCCAAGUUCUAGCCUCCUCGUUCCCUCUUUGAAUUGUUUUCCAUUUCUGAAGCUCCCUAUUUUCAUUUUUUUUCACUGUUAUCCAAUCCCCAGUGUCCCAAAGAUUCACUAUUUUUAAUUUCCAUGUUUUAUAGUUGUCUAGGGGCAGUGGUGGCUUGGUGGGGAACAGUGGUGGCUUGGUGGGGAACAGUGGUGGCUUGGUGGGGGACAGUGGUGGCUUGGUGGGGGACAGUGGUGGCUUGGUGGGGGACAGUGGUGGCUUGGUGGGGGGCAGUGGUGGCUUGGUGGGGGCCAGUGGUGGCUUGGUGGGGGCCAGUGGUGGCUUGGUGGGGGCCAGUGGUGGCUUGUGGUAACUUGAUGGGGACAGUGGUGGCUUGGUGGGGGGCAGCGAGAUACUUGGUGGUUAAGGCUCUGGGUUACUGAUGGGAAGGUCGGGGGUUCAAGCCCCAGCACUGCCAGGCUGCCACAGUUGGUCCUUUGCGCAAGGCCCUUAACCCUCUCUGCUCCAGGGGCUCUGUAUCAUGGCUGACCCUGCGCUCUGACUCCAGCUUCCUGACAUACUGGGUUAUGCGAAGAAAAGAAUUUCACUGUGCUGUAAUGUAAACGUGACCAAUAAAGACUCAUUUUCAUUAGUUUCAAACAUUUCCGUUUCCCCAGUUUCCUUAUUUUCCCCGUUGUUUCCUAGUCUUUAAUGUUCUUCAGUUGGCAGGUUUCAUUAUGAUGAAGUGUUUACUAGAUGAAUGUGUAACCAAUAUUCUCUACUUUCCAGUGUACCUUAAUAAAGUGCACAAGUUUAUUUGAUUGUAGUUUACUUAGUUGCACUUAGUUACUUGCUCCCUAGUUUCCAGCACUUUCCUAGCUUUCUCUCUCUGAUGAUAGUAAUGGGAUCAGACAUGCUAAAUGAUCAUGUGCUGAAGCACCAGCGGCCAGUUCUUCACUGGCAUUUAAACUGGAAAAAGAGACGAUUGGUCCCGUGUAGUAAUCUUUGGUCUCGUCACCUGCCAGGAGGAAGAAAUCAGCUUUGUUUCGGAUCACGAGAAAUGGAAAAGCAAACAGAUGUGUUGUGGCUCAGUGUGUAUACGAUGACUGGCACACUAUAAAUAAAAAAAUAAAUAAGAAAAGUGGUCUAUUUGAGAUACAUUAAGCUGUGGGUGAAGCCAUUUAUCUGAAAAUGGAGUCUCGUUUGACUGCGAGUGUAAUAUCCUAAUUCAGAGACGUGCGCUAAGAAAAAAGGCGAGUCUCUUCCUGUGUCAUUUCCCAGCAGUGCUUUAGCCGCCGCAGUGUCGCGUGUAUGUGUGUGUGUGCGUGUGUGUGCUGAUGGAUCCAUUUUAAAGCACGGCUGAUUUCUCUCCCUCGACUCCCUCUUGGCCCGGCUAACAGCUUGUUCAGUCAAGGGUUAUCAGCUGCAGAUGGUUUCAGACAAUAAACAUGCUCAAAUACGGGGGUGGAAACUAAAAUAUGAUUACGAUUCUCUCUGCACUUCUUCUCGAUUUCUCUUCCUCUCACUCUGCAUGUCUGCUUUUUCUUCAUACAUCAGAAUGAUAUCCGCAUUAUAUAUUGCUAUUUGCGUUCGAGUUCUUAUUAAAACCUCAUUAAAGCAAUAACCGUCAGUGUUAAUGAGUUACUGUUGUCUCUGGAAGAAUAACACCUGAUUGUUGACUGCAUUCAGCCAAUCAGAACACAGCUGUUAUAUAGCACAUGGCUGUUGAAUCCUGGAUGCUGAUUGGUCAGAAGGUGUUCUGAAAUACAGAAGGUGUAUUUUCUAUAACAGCGCUCGAUCUAAUACAGUAUAAUUUCUAUAGCAACGGCUCAUUCACAGGGACGUGUACAGCGGACGCUCCGCGUAACCACGGAUUAAAAAAGAAUCGUUAAUGUGGUGAAGUUUUCUGUGAAGAGACUUUUAUGUAAUGGUUGUGGAAGGAGUCUCCAGUGUCAACGCUUUGUAAUGAUCAGAGGUAUAGCUGUUUCCGACCACUUCAGGACACAAGAGUUUACGUUUUUUGUGGUUUCUCAGUAACACGUCAAGCUGAUUUCUUUGUUUGUUUGUUUGUUUUAAAAGAGAGGCUGGUGAGGGAACGACUGUUUAUAGUCGUAUAUAAUACAUGUAGUAAUGUGUGCAUAUGUGUAUAAUAUGUAUAUUAAUUUCAUUUAUGUAUUAAUGUGUAUAAUACAGUAUGUGUAUUAUACCUCUAUAAAGUAUAUUAAUAUUGUAUAAUGUGUAUAAAUGUGUAUAAUGCGUAUUAAUGUUUGUAAUACAUGUAUAAUACUAUGUAUAAUCUAACCCCUAAAAUGCCAACCCCACAUUAUCCUUAAAAAAUAUAUAUAUAUACUCUGGCAGUUACAACUCUACUCUGCGAACUUUGCUUUUCUAGAACUCAGUUAAAGAUCUGGUACGGUAGUACUACUCGUAUUGUUCUCCGCUUGAUAUAUCACUUUGCUUGUAUUUCACCAUUUGUAAGUCGCUUUGGAUAAAAGCCUCUGCUAAAUGAAUGAAUGCAAAUGUAAAUACAUAUCUAAUUUGUAUAUGUGUAGUAAUAUGUGCGUGUGUAGUAAUGUGUGUAUUAAUAUGUGUAUGUGUAGUAAUGUGUGUAUAAUUUAUGUAUUAAUAUGUGUAAUGUGUGUAUUAAUGUGUAGUAAUGUGUAUAAUGUGUAUAUAUGUGUGUGUAGUAAUGUGUGUAUUAAUGUGUAGUAAUGUGUGUAUAAUUUGUGUAUUAAUAUUUGUAUGUGUCAUAAUGUGUGUACUGAUGUGUGUUUGUGUAGUAAUGUGUGUAUUGAUAUGUGUAGUAAUGUGUGUAUAAUUUGUGUAUUAAUAUGUGUAUGUGUAGUAAUGUGUGUAUAAUUUGUGUAUUAAUAUGUGUAUGUGUAGUAAUGUGUGUAUAAUCUGUGUAUUAAUAUGUGUGUGUAGUAAUGUGUGUAUAAUUUGUGUAUUAAUAUGUGUAUGUGUAGUAAUGUGUGUAUAAUUUGUGUAUUAAUACGUGUAGUAAUGUGUGUAUAAUUUGUGUAUUAAUAUGUGUAUGUGUAGUAAUGUGUGU
Molecule: long non-coding RNA, 4573 nt
Organism: Ictalurus punctatus (channel catfish)
Lineage: Eukaryota; Metazoa; Chordata; Actinopteri; Siluriformes; Ictaluridae
Source: Ensembl